RNAcentral lists this long non-coding RNA (2858 nucleotides) under Fukomys damarensis (Damara mole-rat). RNAcentral's name for it is "lncRNA (ENSFDAG00000032979.1)". Lineage: Eukaryota; Metazoa; Chordata; Mammalia; Rodentia; Bathyergidae. The record is from RNAcentral.
UGUACUGACAAAUGGAAAUCAGGUCGGUUUGGGAGAAAUGUGGUCCCCUGGCAUAUGUUAAGAACUGACAUGUUCAACAGCUCAAGGAUCUCACAACCCUUUGGGACUUCCUCAGCUCUUUCUGAACUAGAAGCCACAAGGCUGAGAACUCCUUACGGAUCAGAACUGCUUAAAAGACUUCCCAAAAGCAGGCGUCCCUCACCUCAGUGUCUUCAUUAUUUAUCUAGAACCUGGGGGCUCAAGACAGCACAUGUGUGUCAUCUCCCAGCAUCUGGGAGCCAGUAAUCUGGAAACAUCUGGGCUGCCCCUUGCUCUGCUGCAGUUAAGGUAUGGUCAGGUUGUGGUCUCACCCAGAGAGCACUGCUUCCAAGCUUACUGAUGUGGCGGUGUCAGUUUUCAGGUCCUCAGCUCUGGGGACUGGAGACCGCCCUCCGCCCCUUAUCACUUGGCCUCUCCAGCAGCCCUACCUCAUCACUGGCACGGAUGAAGCAUAGUCCCCUGAUCUCACCACAGAAGUGGCAUCCUGAUCCCUUUGCUGUGUUCUGUGGGUUACAGUGUCCAGCCCGCGUUCCAGGACAGGGCCACUCACUGUCCAGCAGGGCAGGCGAGGAGCAGCCGGCCAGCCUGCCACCUGGUUGUGAGGUGUGUGUGCAGAGUCGGGUACGACGCUCACCUACUGAGGGACCUGGGGAAGAGGACGUGCGUUCUCUCCUCCGGAGCCCCGGUGGAUGGGGGCGGAGCUGGAUACGGGGCUACGCGGAGUCUGCUCCACCAGCUGGCAUCGUGCUGUCCUCUGGGGAUGUGCCUGGCACGCGGCAGAAGGAAGAACCGCGAGACUUAACCAGCAGUUUGCAGCUGGAUGAGGGUAGGGGGCUCACAGUCGACACAGCACUUCCAGGACCCCUGGAGGUUGGACCCAAGUGGACCUGUGCAUGCGGCAAGGUUUGGGGGGGUGUGUGUGAAGGGUGAUGCAGAAGUUGACAGAUCUGGAGCAUGGUGGUGGCUGUUGGCCUUCUGAGGCUUAGCCUCUGUGCCUGAGCAAAGUUCAGACACCAGGCAGCGGCUGUGAGGGAAAGAGGAUGAGGGAUCAGGACAAGGCUUUGAUUGGGCCUAGCAUGUUGGCAGGGAAGGUAAGCAUGGGAACACAGAUGCCUUCGGCACCCAACGGUGACAGGGAUGGAGGCUAGGACAUGGGGGUCAGGUCCUCCUGAGCCUCCUGUCCGCCACCCCUCUCCUCUGUCACCCAGUGCCUCACCCCUUCCGAAAUCUUCCAAGUUCUUUUCCUCUUCCUUAAGACUCUACCCCAACUAUUGCCCAUGUCUUUCAGGUCCUGUCUUUCAGUUCUCAGCUCAAACGUCACCUCUCCAGAGAGGCUUUGUGGCACCGAGUUUAUGUGUCCCAGCCCUUCAGGCCACCAAUGUCUUUGAAGACGGUGACAGCAGAUUAACCUGCUUUUGAAACAAAUAAUCCAGAGAUCUAUGGAGACACAGUGACACAAAGGCCACGCGGGAGUGUGGGAGUAGAAAGAACAGGACAUUGGUGGGCUGCAGCGGAGCGAGCCGACGGCCACUGUACUUUCUCCAGGAGCCCUCUGCUGUCUGUGUGUGAAGGGGACGCUGCUCAGGUGAGCAGCAGCUGUCUAACCAGGCUGAGGACUGGGGCUCAGACACCAAGGCUGUCAGAGCAGCUGGAGCUUGGGGGAGGAAAUCCUGCAUAAAAGAGGGGUGCCCCAAACCCUGCUUCCAAAGCCUUCAGCGUCCCUGCCUGGUUCAUCUUAGCUCCACGGGAUGAGACCCCAGUGACUGCACAGUUGAGAACAGCUGGACUCUGACAGGGCUGAGUGUAGACAUUGGCAGCUUCCCACAUGGGGGGACAGUUUGAGUUCAGGUUUCCCUGCUCUGGAUGAUUUGGCAAACACCUCAGGCUUUGCAUAGAAAGUCAGGGGCCCAACCCUUAAAGGAAACGUCCCAAGGCUGAAGCUUAGAUGGCAGGGUUAGGGACACAACAGAGGCCCUCUCACAAAGCCCAAGCCUGCAUACCCACAGGGUCCAGAGUGAUUUGCCCGCUGCACACCCGUGUGCUGACUCGAAGCUCGGCUCUUGGUGGGGGAGAACAGUGCACACAGACGGGCCGACAGGGUAUGCACGAAGCCACGCACAGAAUCAAGAUUCACUAGACACGCAAAAAGAAAAACAGGACCCAUGACCAAGAAGCAAUGGUCAGAAGGCACACGAGGAUGUUGGAUGUUGGGAUUCACUGGUGAGGACUGCGGGAAGUAGGAUAAAUAUGUAGCUAAUGUGGAAAAUAAGAUGGUGUGUGACAAAUCACGACCCUGAACACUCGUAAAGCUCACUUCCAAGUGUCUCGUGGGUCACAGGGACAUGACCUCGGGGGCUACAUCUUGACCCUGGCCCCUUACUCUCUGACUCCUUCCUUGUCUCUCCGUUUCCUGGCCAUUGUGAGGUGAGUGGCUUUCCUCCUCCAAGCCCCUUCGCCAUGACGUUUUAUCCUCACCACAGGCCUAGAAGCCGCAGGGCCAGCUGACCGUGGACUGGAACCUCGGAAACUGUGAGGAGAGAAGAAGCACUUCCUCCUUUAAGUUGUCCAUGUCAGGUAUUUUUGUCCCAGGGAUGGAUGAGAAGGUGACCGACCUGGCUGAAAGUAACAUGUGAGGAAAUGGAGAUUUCAGAAGAGACAUAAAACGUCGAAAUGGCUGGACGUGGUGGCACACGCCUGUCAUCCCAGCACUCCAGAGGCUGAGGCAGGAGGAUCACUGUGAGUUUGAGACCAGCCUGGGCUACAUAGUGAGUUCUAGGUCAGUCUCAACUACAUAGUGAGACCCUGUCUCAAAAAACCAC